CACACUUCCCAGCCCUUGGCUGAGAUCAAGUGCAUCAUCUUUUCUUAUCACUUUAGCAUCUGAUACAUCCUUAGCUUGAAGAUUUUACAUUAAACGGAUUUGGAGGGCAUGGGAAGGAGUAACCCCUUCCUCCAUUCACUCAUAGAAUCAUAGAAUCAUUUGGUUGGAAAAGACCUUU
This 178-nucleotide small nuclear RNA is filed under the name Egretta garzetta (little egret). Its description in RNAcentral is "U2 spliceosomal RNA". It matches the Rfam family "U2 spliceosomal RNA". Rfam says of the family: U2 is a small nuclear RNA (snRNA) component of the spliceosome (involved in pre-mRNA splicing). Complementary binding between U2 snRNA (in an area lying towards the 5' end but 3' to hairpin I) and the branchpoint sequence (BPS) of the intron results the bulging out of an unpaired adenosine, on the BPS, which initiates a nucleophilic attack at the intronic 5' splice site, thus starting the first of two transesterification reactions that mediate splicing. The record is from Rfam by way of RNAcentral. Lineage: Eukaryota; Metazoa; Chordata; Aves; Pelecaniformes; Ardeidae.